CCUACGGGAGGCAGCAGUAGGGAAUCUUCCACAAUGGGCGAAAGCCUGAUGGAGCAACGCCGCGUGGGUGAAGAAGGUCUUCGGAUCGUAAAACCCUGUUGUUAGAGAAGAAAGUGCGGGAGAGUAACUGUUCACGUGUCGACGGUAUCUAACCAGAAAGCCACGGCUAACUCCGUGCCAGCAGCCGCGGUAAUACGUAGGUGGCAAGCGUUAUCCGGAUUGAUUGGGCGUAAAGGGAACGCAGGCGGUCUGUUAAGUCUGAUGUGAAAGCCUUCGGCUUACCCGGAGUAGUGCAUCGGAAACUGGGAGCCUUGAGUGCAGCAGAGGUGAGUGGAACUCCAUGUGUCGCGGU
Molecule: ribosomal RNA, 352 nt
Filed under: uncultured bacterium
Lineage: Bacteria
Description: partial 16S ribosomal RNA
Rfam family: Bacterial small subunit ribosomal RNA
Source: RNAcentral